This 69-nucleotide transfer RNA is filed under the name Ictidomys tridecemlineatus (thirteen-lined ground squirrel). Its description in RNAcentral is "Spermophilus tridecemlineatus (thirteen-lined ground squirrel) tRNA". It matches the Rfam family "tRNA". Rfam says of the family: Transfer RNA (tRNA) molecules are approximately 80 nucleotides in length. Their secondary structure includes four short double-helical elements and three loops (D, anti-codon, and T loops). The record is from Rfam by way of RNAcentral. Lineage: Eukaryota; Metazoa; Chordata; Mammalia; Rodentia; Sciuridae.
GAAAGUAUAGCUCAGUGAUAGAGCUUUUGCCUUGCAUGCAUGAGACCUUGGGUUUAAUUCCCAGUACCA